Molecule: non-coding RNA, 457 nt
Organism: Camellia sinensis
Lineage: Eukaryota; Viridiplantae; Streptophyta; Magnoliopsida; Ericales; Theaceae
Source: RefSeq, a predicted model, not a curated record
ACAACUGUUUUUACUGUGACAGAGAAAUAUGAACCUGUUCAUGCAAAGUGGAUAACAGAACGAUGUGCUAUAUGUAGAUGGGUUGAGGAUUGGGACUAUAACAAUAUUGUUAUUUGCAACAGUUACGAUAUCCUUUAAAUCAUUCAAGAGGAUAAAGGUUCAGGAUUAUGGGGGGUCAAUAAAGAGGUGGUCCCUAAGAAGAAAAAUAUUAACGAUGCAGGAAGCCAACUUGCACCCCCAUUAGGAGAAUUGAUGAAGAUGCUCUUUAAUGCAUACAGUUGGUGUCUUCAGAAAGAAAGGUACCAAACUAUAUGAAGCAAGCUUGAAGGAUGAGAAGCGUUUAGAUCAAUGGCUUCAUUGUUAAAUUAAGCAAGUGUUUUAGUAAAUAAAUUUAAUUUUCCCAUCAUGUUUACACCUUCAAAAUAUUCUGUAAAUGACAUUUGAUGUAGGAUUUUUU